RNAcentral lists this ribosomal RNA (497 nucleotides) under uncultured bacterium. Its description in RNAcentral is "partial 16S ribosomal RNA". It matches the Rfam family "Bacterial small subunit ribosomal RNA", at positions 28 to 507 of the family's 1533-position model. The record is from RNAcentral.
GAUGAACGCUGGCGGCGUGCCUAAUACAUGCAAGUCGAGCGAACGGACGAGAAGCUUGCUUCUCUGAUGUUAGCGGCGGACGGGUAAGUAACACGUGGAUAACCUACCUAUAAGACUGGGAUAACUUCGGGAAACCGGAGCUAAUACCGGAUAAUAUUUUGAACCGCAUGGUUCAAAAGUGAAAGACGGUCUUGCUGUCACUUAUAGAUGGAUCCGCGCUGCAUUAGCUAGUUGGUAAGGUAACGGCUUACCAAGGCAACGAUGCAUAGCCGACCUGAGAGGGUGAUCGGCCACACUGGAACUGAGACACGGUCCAGACUCCUACGGGAGGCAGCAGUAGGGAAUCUUCGGCAAUGGGCGAAAGCCUGACGGAGCAACGCCGCGUGAGUGAUGAAGGUCUUCGGAUCGUAAAACUCUGUUAUUAGGGAAGAACAUAUGUGUAAGUAACUGUGCACAUCUUGACGGUACCUAAUCAGAAAGCCACGGCUAACUACGUG